ACAAUGAUUGUUACACAAUGACUGCUUGUCUCAUGGCUUUAUAUAUAGACUGAUGAAUGGAGAAAGUGCACAGAGUUUAUGCACCUUUCAAGAAAGAGAUUUGCAUAUUUUGCUAAUUUUAUUUGUUAGUGAAAAAAUUGUAUAAAAUACAAAAGUAUAUGAUCAAUUAUGGAACUAAAGGAUGCCCAAGAAAUUUGUUUAAAAGGGCAAUAAAUUAAUUAUAGGAAGAUGAAGCCAUCAUUUCUUGAUGCCAACAGCUAGUGACAAUAUAUUGUUGCCCAGCUAGACAACCCAAGAGAGGA
This 302-nucleotide long non-coding RNA is filed under the name Elaeis guineensis (African oil palm). RNAcentral's name for it is "long non-coding RNA (EGUI_LNC002337)". The record is from RNAcentral. Lineage: Eukaryota; Viridiplantae; Streptophyta; Magnoliopsida; Arecales; Arecaceae.